RNAcentral lists this long non-coding RNA (7196 nucleotides) under Triticum aestivum (bread wheat). RNAcentral describes it as "long non-coding RNA (TAES_LNC027309)". Lineage: Eukaryota; Viridiplantae; Streptophyta; Magnoliopsida; Poales; Poaceae. The record is from RNAcentral.
GUGUACUUCGUUUGUGUCCAACGACCAGACCAAGACCGCUUUCGGAUCCCCACCUUUAUCAAUACUUCAUACAUACUCGCAAUAUUCAGAUUGCUUUUAUCAUAUUCUUGCUUGUUCUUCGAUUGCUUGCAGGAAUAGACCUUCGUGGUCAGGUUGAUUGUUCUCCGGCGUGGUCAAUAACCUCUCGGAGUUGGUUUAGCGAUUGCUAAGGCGCAACGUCGUGCACGUUUGUAGUCGGAUCGUCAAAGUCGUCUCCACCAAAUUGAUAGUUAUCAUCUCAUCGAAAGAUCGGGACCCUCGCCUCUAUCAAGUGGUAUCAGUUUUCAGGUUGCUCGGUGAGAAUUUCCAGUUUUCCUAGAUUAGAUUUAUUUUCUUACCUAUUGUCCAAGAAAAAGCAACAAAAAAGAGUUAGAUCUAUUCAUCCUUGGUCCAAGCCAGUCUGAGCCUUUGCAAUUUUCUUUUCAUUGCUUGCAUAGUUGAAUUAUCGGUUGCAUCGUCGUGUCGAGUUGCUGGUCUUAGUGUCUAGUUCGUUUAGAGUUUCGAGUUCUGUUCACAUUAGUCACGCCACCGCUGCAUCAUUAUCUCUUCCGCUGUCCACCACCCAUCCAUCAAUUUCCACCACGUGCUACCCAUCAUUCAUUGUCAUAAAAAUAGUUGAGAUCAUUCACAUCUUCACUUGAUCCAAUCUGCAUCUUAUCUAGUUUGUUUUGGAAAGAGGGAGAAAAAAAGAGAGAAAAAAAACAAGAGAAAAAAAGGAGAAAAAAAAAGUCAGAGAAAAAAAAAGGAGAGAAAGAAAAAAGUGUGAGGAAAAAAAAGAGAGAAGAAAAAAAAACAAAAAAAUCGGCACAAACUUUUUCAGAGGAAAGUUGGAGACAAAGUUGUUGAUAUAUCCUGCUUGGCUGUUGUUUCGCCUCAUUAUCUUUACUGCCGUUGUGAUCUUCAUUUAUAUCUUGCUGUCUAGAGCUACUUAGUGUCCUUCAUUGAUGCUAGUUGUGCUACGACGUGACCUCAUUAGUGUUCUAGGCUCGCGUCUCUAGUUCGGUCUAGCCUAGGACCAGCACAGUACCGUCGUUGAGCGUUUAUUCAACAUUGCAUCUUUGAAUUGAUUAUUGCUAAUCUUUUGCUACCAUAUAUAGCCAACCCAGCUCCACAUAUUUCUACACCGUGUAUACGUACGCUCCCCUGGCAAUCGCUUUACUCAAUAUUCGGAGUUACUUGACACCGCUGGUUGCCGAUCACCGCCUGCUGCAUGGUAAGAACUUGUAAGACAUUGAUAUUUGCUUUACUGUGAGCGUUUUACCACCACAUCCUAGUAGUUAUAGGAACAUUAUUUUUGGGUUUUGUUUCUUGUUCUACUAAUCAUGACAGGACCCAGAGUCAAUUCAUGGGCUUUGUCGAUCGCGGGGGACGUGCCACCACCUUUGCAAAUACCACAACCGUCACGAGAGGUGCACAAACAUCCAAGUGCACAUGAUCAGGUUAAUGUAUCUAUACCACCAUUUAAUGGCCGUUUUAAACCUGCUUUAUAUAUUGAAUGGGAGUUCGACAUAAAAAAUAUAUUUGCUUCCCAUAAUUUCGAUGAACAUAAAAAGGUUAAGGUUGCGCUUGGUUCUUUCACUGGUUAUGCUUUGGUUUGGUGGAGUGAAUAUUGUCGGUUACACCCUGAUUAUAUACCUACUACUUGGGAUGGUUUGAAACUUGCCAUGCGACAUACUUUUGUCCCUGCUUAUUAUACUCGUGACAUGAUUAAGAAGUUGCAACACUUAAAACAAGGUAGUGAAACUGUAACAAAAUAUUAUGAUGAUUUACAAACUACCUUGUUGCAUUCCUCUUUAGAAGAAAGUGAAGAUGAUUUUAUGGAUAGAUUUUGGGGAGGAUUAAACCGUGAUAUUCAAGAGAUACUAAUUCAUGAAGAGUGUUAUCCUAUGGACCAUUUGUUUCAUCUUGCUUGCAAAGCUGAACAGGAAAUAAAACGACGUGUUGGCCACGAGGAGAACAAGCGCACGAUGCACAUUCCAAGAGUUGAUAUGAUUGUUCCUUCAACUACUAGGCAUACUAUGACAACCACAUCCGUUGUUGUCAGGACUACAUCACCUCCACCAUGUGACACAUCGCCCCUGAGAGUGGCUACAUCAUCUGAGUUGAUCAUAAGAGGUAAUGACAAAGGUACUGAUCUUCCAUCUCUACAUGAGAAUGAUGAAUGCCUUGUCAAUUUGAAUGCACCAUCUGAUGAGCUACCCACUACUUUGAUCACACCACCUAUUUUAGAGGACUAUGUUGAUAAUUUGACUUUGCCAUGUGAUCAAACAACUGAAAUACCAACAAUUUUGAGUGCACCCAUUGAAUUAACUAUUGAUGCAAAAGAACCAAUGUUUAAUCAUUUUGAUAUGACCUCUAAUCUUGGUGAUGAUUCUGUGUUGAAUGACUUAUUGCAUGUUUGCUUAUUUAAGCAUGUUGUAGCAUGUAAAUUUGAUGCAAGUAAGGUUUAUUCACCAAUGUUGGGAUGGUUUAAUGAUGAACAUUGUCAAUCUUUUGAAAUGAAUAAUAGCUUCACUUAUAUGUGCAAACUGAGUUGCAAUAUUUUCAUGCCUUCUACUUCUUGUGCUAAUUUUUUGGCUUUAGAUUUUAUGAACUAUGCAAGUUACUCAUCUAUUCAUGUGUCAUAUAUGCAAAAAUCAAGGGAAGUAAAAAUGGAUGACAUAUACAUAUACAACAUGUACACCUUGUCUCUUUUGUUAGCCACAUUUCAGAUUAAGCAACGCCGAGGACGGCUUUAUUUUCAAGAAGGGGAGGAUGAUGAGGACAUGACUACCUUGGAUAUGACCAAAAAUAUUGCAUAUAUGCAUAUUUGUCAGGUGAUUUCUAGUGCAAACUAUUCAAUAAUCUAUUUAUGUUAUCCAGAAAAAAAAUACUUCACACACUUUUGUGUUUUGUCUAAUUGCAGGUGUAUGGGACAUUUGUACAAUCCACAUAUGAAGAUAAGGAAGAAAGAGAUGUUUAUUUGCUGUCCAAAAAGUUCUCUCACGUCACUUUUGGCCCAAGAGAAGAUAGAGUCCAAGUCUCUCACGUUCUGGAUUCAGAUUCGGACUGCACAGACAUAUCUGACUCAAAACGCACACAAGUUUUUCAUACGGACUCCGAAUUGGGUGAUUCUUUUUUUGUUGGAAACUAGAUUUCGUGCACUUUCCAACCCAAUUGGAAUCACCUUCAAAUUCGUCCGGAGCGUUGAGUUGUGGACGAAACAAUCUGAUGCUGCAGCAGAAUCCGAGUCAAACUACAAGUCCAAAGGUGUUACAUCACCUCCACUUGGGCCCAUUGGCCUUGUACGACCUAGAUUUAGUUUUAGGCUGCCUUGGGACGUCCUCCCACCUCCUUGGUCGCCACCCCUUGCUCCUAUAUAAGUAGAUCCAUCUAGUAGCUUUUCCUUGGGAUUUGUUUAGUUAAAAGUUAGCCAUUGCAACUUCGUGUACUUCGUUUGUGUCCAACGACCAGACCAAGACCGCUUCCGGAUCCCCACCAUUAUCAAUACUUCAUAUAUAUUUGCAAUAUUCAGAUUGCUUUAUCAUAUUCUUGCUCGUUCUUCGAUUGCUUGCAGGAAUAGACCUUCGUGGUCAGGUUGACCGUGCUUCCAGCAUCGUCAGUAACCUCAGGAGAUUGGUUUAGCGAUUGCUAAGGCGCAACGUCGUGCACGUUUGUAGUCGGAUCGUCAAAGUCGUCUCCACCAAAUCGAUAGUUAUCAUCUCAUCGAAAGAUCGGGACCCUCGCCUCUAUCUAGUGGUAUCAGUUUUCAGGUUGCUCGGUGAGAAUUUCCAGUUUUCCUAGAUUAGAUUUAUUUUCUUACCUAUUGUCCAAGAAAAAGCCACAAAAAAGAGUUAGAUCUAUUCAUCCUUGGUCCAAGCCAGUCUGAGCCUUUGCAAUUUUCCUUUCAUUGCUUGCAUAGUUGAAUUAUCGGUUGCAUCGUCGUGUCGACUUGCUGGUCUUAGUGUCUAGUUCGUUUAGAGUUUCGAGUUCUGUUCACAUUAGUCACGCCACCGCUGCAUCAUUAUCUCUUCCGCUGUCCACCACCCAUCUAUCAAUUUCCACCACGUGCUACCCAUCAUUCAUUGUCAUAAUAAUAGUUGAGAUCGUUCACAUCUUCACUUGAUCCAAUCUGCAUCUUAUCUAGUUUGUUUUGGAAAGAGGGAGAAAAAAAGAGAGAGAAAAAAAACGAGAGAAAAAAAGGGAGAAAAAAAAGUCAGAGAAAAAAAAGGAGAGAAAGAAAAAAAAGUGUGAGGAAAAAAAAGAGAAGAAAAAAAAACAAAAAAAUCGGCACAAACUUUUUCAGAGGAAAGUUGGAGACAAAGUUGUUGAUAUAUCCUGCUUGGCUGUUGUUUCACCUCAUUAUCUUUACUGCCGUUGUGAUCUUCACUUAUAUCUUGCUGUCCAGAGCUACUUAGUGUCCUUCAUUGAUGCUAGUUGUGCUACGACGUGACCUCAUUAGUGUUCUAGGCUCGCGUCUCUAGUUCGGUCUAGCCUAGGACCAGCACAGCACCGUCGUUGAGCGUUUAUUCAACAUUGCAUCUUUGAAUUGAUUAUUGCUAAUCUUUUGCUACCAUAUAUAGCCAACCCAGCUCCACAUAUUUCUACACCGUGUAUACGUACGCUCCCCUAGCAAUCGCUUUACUCAAUAUUCGGAGUUACUUGACACCGCUGGUUGCCGAUCACCGCCUGCUGCAUGGUAAGAACUUGUAAGACAUUGAUAUUUGCUUUACUGUGAGCGUUUUACCACCACAUCCUAGUAGUUAUAGGAACAUUAUUUUUGGGUUUUGUUUCUUGUUCUACUAAUCAUGACAGGAUCCAGAGUCAAUUCAUGGGCUUUGUCGAUCGCGGGAGACGUGCCACCACCUUUGCAAAUACCACAACCGUCACGAGAGGUGCACAAACAUCCAAAUGCACAUGAUCAGGUUAAUGUAUCUAUACCACCAUUUAAUGGCCGUUUUAAACCUGCUUUAUAUAUUGAAUGGGAGUUCGACAUAAAAAAUAUGUUUGCUUCCCAUAAUUUCAAUGAACAUAAAAAGGUUAAGGUUGCGGUUGGUUCUUUCACUGGUUAUGCUUUGGUUUGGUGGAGUGAAUAUUGUCGGUUACACCCUGAUUAUAUACCUACUACUUGGGAUGAUUUGAAACUUGCCAUGCGACAUACUUUCGUCACUGCUUAUUAUACUCGUGACAUGAUUAAGAAGUUGCAACACUUAAAACAAGGUAGUGAAACUGUAACAAAAUAUUAUGAUGAUUUACAAACUACCUUGUUGCAUUCCUCUUUAGAAGAAAGUGAAGAUGAUUUUAUGGAUAGAUUUUGGGGAGGAUUAAACCGUGAUAUUCAAGAGAUACUAAUUCAUGAAGAGUGUUAUCCUAUGGACCAUUUGUUUCAUCUUGCUUGCAAAGCUGAACAGGAAAUAAAACGACGUGUUGGCCACGAGGAGAACAAGCGCACGGUGCACAUUCCAAGAGUUGAUAUGAUUGUUCCUUCAACUACUAGGCAUACUAUGACAACCACAUCCGUUGUUAUCAGGACUACAUCGCCUCCACCAUGUGACACAUCGGCCCCGAGAGUGGCUACAUCAUCUGAGUUGAUCAUAAGAGGUAAUGACAAAGGUACUGAUCUUUCAUCUCUACAUGAGAAUGAUGAAUGCCUUGUCAAUUUGAAUGCACCAUCUGAUGAGCUACCCACUACUUUGAUCACACCACCUAUUUUAGAGGACUACGUUGAUAAUUUGACUUUGCCAUGUGAUCAAACAACUGAAAUACCAACAAUUUUGAGUGCACCCAUUGAAUUAACUAUUGAUGCAAAAGAACCAAUGUUUAAUCAUUUUGAUAUGACCUCUAAUCUUGGUGAUGAUUCUGUGUUGAAUGACUUAUUGCAUGUUUGCUUAUUUAAGCAUGUUGUAGCAUGUAAAUUUGAUGCAAGUAAGGUUUAUUCACCAAUGUUGGGAUGGUUUAAUGAUGAACAUUGUCAAUCUUUUGAAAUAAAUAAGAGCUUCACUUAUAUGUGCAAACUGAGUUGUAAUAUUUUCAUGCCUUCUACUUCUUGUGCUAAUUUUUUGGCUUUAGAUUUUAUGAACUAUGCAAGUUACUCAUCUAUUCAUGUGUCAUAUAUGCAAAAAUCAAGGGAAGUAAAAAUGGAUGACAUAUACAUAUACAACAUGUACACCUUGUCUCUUUUGUUAGCCACAUUUCAGAUUAAGCAACGCCGAUGACGGCUUUAUUUUCAAGAAGGGGAGGAUGAUGAGGACAUGACUACCUUGGAUAUGACCAAAAAUAUUGCAUAUAUGCAUAUUUGUCAGGUGAUUUCUAGUGCAAACUAUUCAAUAAUCUAUUUAUGUUAUCCAGAACAAAAAUACUUCACACACUUUUGUGUUUUGUCUAAUUGCAGGUGUAUGGGACAUUUGUACAAUCCACAUAUGAAGAUAAGGAAGAAAGAGAUGUUUAUUUGCUGUCCAAAAAGUUCUCUCACGUCACUUUUGGCCCAAGAGAACAUAGAGUCCAAGUCUCUCACGUUCUGGAUUCAGAUUCGGACUGCACAGACACACCUGACUCAAAACGCACACAAGUUUUUCAUACGGACUCCGAAUUGGGUGAUUCUUUUUUUGUUGGAAACUAGAUUUCGUGCACUUUCCAACCCAAUUGGAAUCACCUUCAAAUUCGUCCGGAGCGUUGAGUUGUGGACGAAACAAUCUGAUGCUGCAGCAGAAUCCGAGUCAAACUACAAGUCCAAAGGUGUUACAUCACCUCCACUUGGGCCCAUUGGCCUUGUACGACCUAGAUUUAGUUUUAGGCUGCCUUGGGACGUGCUCCCACCUCCUUGGCCGCCACCCCUUGCUCCUAUAUAAGUAGAUCCAUCUAGUAGCUUUUCCUUGGGAUUUGUUUAGUUAAAAGUUAGCCAACGCAACUUCGUGUACUUCGUUUGUGUCCAACGACCAGACCAAGACCGCUUUCGGAUCCCCACCUUUAUCAAUACUUCAUACAUACUCGCAAUAUUCAUAUUGCUUUUAUCAUAUUUUUGCUUGUUCUUCGAUUGCUUGCAGGAAUAGACCUUCGUGGUCAGGUUGAUUGUGCUCCGGCGUGGUCAAUAACCUCUCGGAGUUGGUUUAGCGAUUGCUAAGGCGCAACGUCGUGCACGUUUGUAGUCGGAUCGUCAAAGUCGUCUCCACCAAAUUGAU